RNAcentral lists this ribosomal RNA (431 nucleotides) under uncultured bacterium. RNAcentral describes it as "partial 16S ribosomal RNA". It matches the Rfam family "Bacterial small subunit ribosomal RNA", at positions 29 to 507 of the family's 1533-position model. The record is from RNAcentral.
AACGAACGCUGGCGGCAGGCCUAACACAUGCAAGUCGAGCGCCCCGCAAGGGGAGCGGCGGACGGGUGAGUAACGCGUGGGAAUAUGCCCUUUGCUACGGAAUAGUCUCGGGAAACUGGGGGUAAUACCGUAUACGCCCUUUGGGGGAAAGAUUUAUCGGCUAAGGAUUAGCCCGCGUUGGAUUAGGUAGUUGGUGGGGUAAUGGCCUACCAAGCCGACGAUCCAUAGCUGGUUUGAGAGGAUGAUCAGCCACACUGGGACUGAGACACGGCCCAGACUCCUACGGGAGGCAGCAGUGGGGAAUCUUAGACAAUGGGGGCAACCCUGAUCUAGCCAUGCCGCGUGAGUGAUGAAGGCCUUAGGGUUGUAAAGCUCUUUCAGCUGGGAAGAUAAUGACGGUACCAGCAGAAGAAGCCCCGGCUAACUCCGUG